Molecule: ribosomal RNA, 233 nt
Filed under: uncultured bacterium
Lineage: Bacteria
Description: partial 16S ribosomal RNA
Rfam family: Bacterial small subunit ribosomal RNA
Source: RNAcentral
CGGGACGGGUGAGUAAUGUCUGGGAAACUGCCCGAUGGAGGGGGAUAACUACUGGAAACGGUAGCUAAUACCGCAUAAUGUCUACGGACCAAAGCGGGGGACCUCCGGGCCUCGCGCCAUCAGAUGAACCCAUAUGGGAUUAGCUAGUAGGUGGGGUAAUGGCUCACCUAGGCGACGAUCCCUAGCUGGUCUGAGAGGAUGACCAGCCACACUGGAACUGAGACACGGUCCAG